CGCUUCGCCCCCGGGCCCCCGGCGCGGCCGCCUGCCUGAGACUGGGCGCCGACCGGACGCCGGAGCCCUACUGCUGUGUCCACGGCCCCUCGGCCGGCUUAGGGGUACGAGCAAGGGCGCGCGGGAGCCGGGAUCGGGAGCAGAGAUGCGGCGUCCGCGUGCCCACUCCUUCCUCUCUCUGCCACAGCGCAUCUUCCGGGUCUCGCUCCUCCGCCCCCAUCGGCGCCGGACCCUCCGCGCCGGGCGCUUGGGAUCCGAGGCCCAGAAGAAGGGCCGCGCAUCUUAGGGGCGCCGCCAUCCAGGUCCGCGGAGUGUCUGCACUGGCUGUGGCCUACAGGGGACAGGCGUGGAGGUCGCGGCCCCGUAACCCAGGGUAAAGUGGAGCCGCUUGCUUCUGGGUACCAGCCGGGUUCCUCGGCUCAGAAGGGCACGCCUCGCCUGUGCCCCUGCGCGUCCGGGGAGUCACUUGGGACGCAAACGCUCCAGGGUCGCGCCCGCACCAAGCUCCCUCCCAGGGACAACGCCUCCUGGCCCCGCCCGGCCGGAAUCAUUUCCGCGUAGGGCAGGGCUCCCACUUCCUCUAAGGCCUCCGCUGGAGAACCCCACACGCUGGACGAGGUCUGGACGACUCUGGGCGGCGGGCACCCGCUAUGCACUGCCUUCUGGUGCUCGUGGGAACCGUUAUCUGCCUCCGAACCGAUGCCUCCAGGCCAGGGGGACCCUCGCUUCAGUGUCGCCGGUGGAACCUAGCAGCCCGGGCUGGUUCAGUCCAGGUUCUCUGGCCACGUCUGUUCCACAACUCACCUGGCGAGUGUGGCUGACUUCCACACGUCUUUACUGCUCACCUACUGUCUUUGAGGUGCGGGGUGCGGUGGGGACCCAAAGACAAAUGACGCACGGGAGGGAGUUGAUCUGGCCGCACCGCGGAGCAGGGCGCCUGCACGCAUCCCCUACUCGUUCGUUCUGUGAAGUUGGGGGGGCCACCAAAGGGCGCAGGCCCAGCUGGGUGUGCAGAGGUGCGAAGAGGACCCAGGCCGGGUCUCAGUUCUUAGAACGCAGGGUCAGGGGCCGGUGUCAGGGUCUGCGCGAUCUGAUCCUGUGUGCAGCCCCGGGAAUCCUGGCGGCAGGGCACCGCCUGGCGGGGGCGUGGGGGAGGCCUCUGUUGGGUGAAGUGGACUAGAGGACAAGACAGAAGCGGGGCAGCGAGCGAGAUCAGCAGAGCCAGUGCGACGCAGGUGCGCGCUCCGGCCUGCGACUUGGGCGGGUGCGGCUGAGCCCAGGGCCGAGCCCUGGUGGCCUUCUGUCACUUGCGGGUCCGGGCGCAGGUGCGGGCUUGCGAUAGACAGGUGGGUGCAUGCAACCCCGGUGCACUCCCGGCAGAGUGUCGAUUUCGUUCUCUCCCGGAUCCUGAGCAUGAAGUGAGGGCCUUGCUGCAGGCAUGGUUGCGGGAUGUAGCCAAAAGACAAACAAAAACGAAUACUUAUACUUUAUGUAUAAAAUAUAAUAUGUGUGUUUGGACUGUUACAUAUUAUAUAAAAGUGACAAGUGCAUGUUUAUGUGUGAAUUUAUGUAUAUGUCUUUACAUUAACUAUGAAUGCAUAAAUAUAAACACACAGACACACAGGAUGUCAGUUCAUUUGAAUUUCAGAUAAGGGGAUAAUUCUUUAGUGUAAGUAUGAGCCACGUAGUCUUUGGGAACAUAUAUAUAUAUUUUNUUCCCAGGCUAGGGGUCUAAUCGGAGCUGUAGCCGCCGGCCUACGCCAGAGCCACUGCAACGUGGGAUCCCAGCCGCGUCUGCGACCUACGCCACAGCUCACGGCAACGCCGGAUCCUUAACCCACUGAGCGAGUCCGGGGAUCAUACCCGCAACCUCAUGGUUCCUAGUCAGAUUCGUUAACCACUGCGCCACGACGGGAACUCCUGGGAACAUCUUUAACCUAGAAAACUAUUCGUUGCUUAUCUGAAAUUCAGUUUCGGUGCACUUCCUGCCUUUUAUCUGGCAACCAUAGCUGGAGAAGGUCUCAACGCUUCCCAUGUUGGAGCACCAGCGGCAAUCCCGGGUGGGACGCACCGCUACGGCGCCUUUAAAGCGUGGUGGCGUGCCGGGGGUGGGGCGGAGAACUACAAGCCCCACAAUGCUGCGCGUCAUCCCUGAUUUCUGAUUGGCUACUGUGCGUUUC
This 2180-nucleotide long non-coding RNA is filed under the name Sus scrofa (pig). RNAcentral describes it as "lncRNA (ENSSSCG00040016048.1)". Lineage: Eukaryota; Metazoa; Chordata; Mammalia; Artiodactyla; Suidae. The record is from RNAcentral.